UACGUAGGCACCAAGCGUUGUCCGGAUUUAUUGGGCGUAAAGAGCUCGUAGGCGGUUCAGUAAGUCAGGUGUGAAAUCUUUGGGCUUAACCCAAAGCGUGCACUUGAUACUGCUGUGACUUGAGUUCGGUAGGGGAGUGGGGAAUUCCUAGUGUAGCGGUGAAAUGCGCAGAUAUUAGGAGGAACACCGGUGGCGAAGGCGCCACUCUGGGCCGAAACUGACGCUGAGGAGCGAAAGCGUGGGUAGCAAACAGG
This 254-nucleotide ribosomal RNA is filed under the name uncultured bacterium. RNAcentral describes it as "partial 16S ribosomal RNA". It matches the Rfam family "Bacterial small subunit ribosomal RNA", at positions 524 to 776 of the family's 1533-position model. The record is from RNAcentral.